GUAACACGUAGUCAACAUGCCCAGGGGACGUGGAUAACCUCGGGAAACUGAGGAUAAACCGCGAUAGGUCACUACUUCUGGAAUGGGUAAUGACUCAAACCUAUAUGGCCCCUGGAUUGGACUGCGGCCGAUCAGGCUGUUGGUGAGGUAAUGGCCCACCAAACCUGUAACCGGUACGGGCUCUGAGAGGAGGAGCCCGGAGAUGGGCACUGAGACAAGGGCCCAGGCCCUAUGGGGCGCAGCAGGCGCGAAACCUCUGCAAUAGGCGAAAGCCUGACAGGGUUACUCUGAGUGAUUUCCGUUAAGGAGAUCUUUUGGCACCUCUAAAAAUGGUGCAGAAUAAGGGGUGGGCAAGUCUGGUGUCAGCCGCCGCGGUAAUACCAGCACCCCGAGUGGUCGGGACGUUUAUUGGGCCUAAAGCAUCCGUAGCCGGUUCUACAAGUCUUCCGUUAAAUCCAGCUGCUUAACAGAUGGGCCGCGGAAGAUACUAUAGAGCU
RNAcentral lists this ribosomal RNA (497 nucleotides) under uncultured archaeon. RNAcentral's name for it is "bacterial SSU rRNA". It matches the Rfam family "Archaeal small subunit ribosomal RNA", at positions 93 to 593 of the family's 1478-position model. The record is from RNAcentral.